AUUGAACGCUGGCGGCAGGCCUAACACAUGCAAGUCGAACGAGUGGCGGACGGGUGAGUCAUGUCUGGAAAACUGCCUGAUGGAGGGGGAUAACUACUGGAAACGGUAGCUAAUACCGCAUACCAUCGGAUGUGCCCAGAUGGGAUUAGCUAGUGGGUGGGGUAACGGCUCACCUAGGCGACGAUCCCUAGCUGGUCUGAGAGGAUGACCAGCCACACUGGAACGGAGACACGGUCCAGACUCCUACGGGAGGCAGCAGUGGGGAAUAUUGCACAAUGGGCGCAAGCCUGACGCAGCCAUGCCGCGGGUAUGAAGAAGGCUUUCGGGUUGUAAAGUACUUUCAGCGGGGAGGCGUUACCCGAAGAAGAAGCACCGGCUAACUCCGUGCCAGCAGCCGCGGUAAUAC
Molecule: ribosomal RNA, 406 nt
Filed under: uncultured bacterium
Lineage: Bacteria
Description: partial 16S ribosomal RNA
Rfam family: Bacterial small subunit ribosomal RNA
Source: RNAcentral